Equus asinus (donkey) is the source of this 1606-nucleotide long non-coding RNA. The record is from Ensembl. NCBI's taxonomy places the organism in Eukaryota, Metazoa, Chordata, Mammalia, Perissodactyla, Equidae.
CCCAUACUGCCAGAGAUGUAUAAUAGCGGUAAGAAUGCUUGGUUCAAAUCCCAGUUCUCCUUCCUAGCUGUGUGGCCUCAGACAACUUACCUGAUAUCUCUGAAUCUCAGUUCUCUGAAUCUCUGAAAUGGGGAUCAUACCUGUACUUAUUCUUGUAGGAUUGUUGGGAAGAUUGAGUGACUUAAUGCACAUUCAAGAGUUUAGAACAGUGCCUGGCACCAAGUGUAGUCUCUGACUGUUAUAACCUUCUCUGAGCCUGUAAAAUGGGGUAACCUCACCUACUUCUGGGGUCAUUCUGAAGGACCAAAGAGCUAAUGGAAGUGAAGCACCUAGUCAUAUGCCUGGCACACGAGAGAUGCUCAAAAAUGGUAAUCUUAAUGGAAGUAGGAUUAUAUAGUAGGCUGAGUCCUUAGUCUGAGAACUACCUUGCGUAAUACACUUUAUGUCUCUGAGGCUCAACUUGGACACCUGUAAAAUGGGCUCUGGAGCUGACAGGUAUAGACUGCUUUAAGCCAGCACCCAGGAAGAUCAUCCAACUGGAAAAGCAGUCAUCAGAGAACAGAGAAGCCUGAGCUCUUCAAAGAAGUCUAAGGUCAUGGAACCAAACAAGCUUCCUAAUUCAAUUCAAAUAUCUCUUCUCUGACCUGCACCACAAGUUCUCCCUUCACACUCGCUUUUCAUAUCCGAUAAUUCUGAAAAUGACAUGUAUCUCUCCUGUAAGCCUUUAAGUUCCAAGAGAUAAGAGGCUGCAUCUGUCUUGUUCGUCAGCACGUAUGGGGCCUUGCUUUGCAUGGUGGUUGCAUGCGCGUGCUUUUUUCGUGCUAAUUCAUUGAGCUCUUGGUGCAAUGCCAGUGCCCAGUAAAUAUUCACUGAAUGCAUGAAUGAAUCACAGAGUCUUCAGUAGUUAUCCAGGCCAUUCACCCACUACAUUCCUGAAUCCUUGCCUCAAAAUUCCUACCAAGUGUCUGCUAGUAUUUGCCAACAAAACAGCUCUAGUGACAAGGAGCUCUCUACUGCCCAAGGCUGCCUGUUUAUUUUUUGUGUAGUUCUGUUGGCUAGAAAGUUCUUCUUAAUAUGGAGCUGAAAUAUAUCUGCUUGAGGCUUCCAGUCAGUUUCUUGUUCUAUCCUUAUGAUCACAUAAAUCAAGCCUACGCCCUCUUUGUGACGACAACCUUUUAGACAUUUGAAGUUAGUUCUCACACCCACCUCUUCUCCAAGCUAAUCACAAAAUCAUUGAUGAGACGCAUAUUUGUUGAGUACCUACGAAAGGAAUAGGCUAGAGAACACAAAGAUGAAAAGAUAUAAUACCUGUCCUGAGGUCUCCAGUCUUGGGGAGCCAGAGAAAUUUAAGAGAGAAUGUGAUAAGUGCUAGGGAUGGUGGAGACACAGGGGAAAGAGAGCCCAAGCCCACUCAAGGAGACCCUUGAGGAAGGCUCCACAGAGGAGUGGGCUAUAGAAUAUGCUCCAAGCAGGCCAGGGAGGAGAGGAUGUUCCAAGAGGAAGGGAGAGCAUACGCAAAAAUCUGGCAAUAUAAGAGUCCAUGGCAUGGAAAGAGAACUUUAAGAAGUUCAUAUGGCUAGGAAGACCAGAAGUCCCAGCUUGCUCA